RNAcentral lists this small RNA (3146 nucleotides) under Histoplasma capsulatum. RNAcentral describes it as "hypothetical RNA". The record is from RNAcentral. Lineage: Eukaryota; Fungi; Ascomycota; Eurotiomycetes; Onygenales; Ajellomycetaceae. RNAcentral also lists the same sequence under 1 other name.
CAUCCCAGACUUUCAAAAGCCCUUUCUACCGCCAAUUAACCACAGCACUGGCUCAGCAUGUCACCGCCAACGCCCUCCGCGGGGGUAAUCCGUUCCCUACGACACUUCAUAUCCCGCCCAUAUUGCCUCUCUUCACCCCUGUCCACCUCCUCCAAGCGCACCUUUUCCCUCCUCCACCGACCACCACACACCACACCUCCCUUACGCCGUAAACUGACAUCCGUCCAAUAUAUAUGUACACCAUCGUCCCUCUCUUCACCAUCGCGGAAAUUCUCUAGCACUCUCUACCACAAUGCCACGUUGAACCAAGUCCGUCGGGGUUGUCGGAAGGGCAAGCGUGCGCGGAAAACCACCUCGCCCGCGCUUGUAGGCCGGCCGCAGAUGAAAGGCGUGUGUCUGAAGACGGGAAUCACGAAGCCGAAGAAGCCUAAUUCUGGAGAGCGCAAAACGGCGAGAAUCCGGUUGACUAAUGGCGCGGUUGUUACGGGGUACAUCCCAGGCGAAGGCCACAACAUCCAACAGCACAGCGUCGUGUUGAUUAGAGGCGGCCGGGCACAGGAUUGUCCUGGUGUGCGGUACCAUCUUGUCCGUGGAGCGUUGGAUUUGUCUGGCGUUGGCAACCGUAUCACCAGCCGCUCGAAGUACGGGACGAAGAAGCCGAAGAGUGCUUAAUGCAGUUCGGGUAGAUAGAGGAGAGGACGUGAGGGAAAGUUAGAAAGAGAAGAAGAGAGAUAGGAGUGGGGGGCUUUUGUUUUUCUCCUACUCCGAAUGUACGAUUUGGAUCCAUUUAUAUCCUUUGUGAUGUGCGAGCAUCGCCAUGUAUUCUGCCAUAGAUUUGAUCCAUCAAUCAAGAGUUAGUAAAGCGUACAUUAGUUACUUCUAUCUUCUGCCCCUCCCCCCAAUGUGCUACUUCUAGCACCGAUGGGAGAGCACUUAUGGAACUCAUUGAAUUCAAAAGGUUUUGGUGGCCUUCGCUAUUGCUAAAAAAAAGCAGAACCAUUCAUUUUAAAACUUCCCAAAUAUCUACUCAUUCCUUCUUCUUUCCUCGAUUUGCCAUUCCUCGGCACCAGACGCAUAACUCUCGAUUUAAAAGCACAAGAUCACCACGAUUAAAAAUAAAAUAACAGGGUCAUUUGACAUGUACUGCAAAAAUAUCAUCAAUCUCCGUGAAACAUGGACUUUUCUCUUCAUUUCUUCUUUCCUGGGAGAUGAAAUGAAACAAAGAGAAUAUAUAUAUAUAUAACUUUAUAUAUAAUCAUUAUAAUGGAUGAUUUGGUUUUCGUGUGGAUGUAUACAACUAUUAAAUCAUGACAUGCUUCAUAUGGGGCUGACAACCCAUAAGAAGCAGAGGAAAAAAACAAAUCAAUCACAAAAAUAUUUUAAUAAGAAAACGUACAUUUUUCCACAUGACUCCGUGAAAUUUCAAUAAAAGCGGAAAUAGAAAACGACAAGGAAUAGAAAAUAUUAAUAAAAGCAAAGGGGGCAAGGAAAUGCAAAAUAUCCCAUGUCUAUACAGCCUGGAUGGGGUAUGAAAACGUAUGUCAACUUAUGAAUGAAGCACACGAGGGCAUCAAAAUGCGAAGGAAAUAAUGACGAUUAAAGGCAAAUAUCAGGGUGAAAUAAGAGAAUGUAGGAUUGGGGAAGCGGAGGAUGGAGGUAUAUAGGAUGAGGGGGAAGAGAAAAUGGGACUUAGGCUAUCUUUUCCAAGGCGUACGCAACUUGCUACUAUUAGUACAACGGUCAGGAUGAUGAUACCGCAAAAGAUUGUGAGAAGCCAGUUCGGUCAGUCCGUUUCUUUUUCAUAACCUUUAGGCUUCGUCAUCUUAUUAAUGUCGAAGUAACGGGAUGUACAAGAAUAUCCUUUCCAGUCGAAGUUGUCACGGGGAUUGCAGUGGCAUUUCAGAUCCAAUCUCAUCUGCUCGCCCGUCGGGCAAUGGACAAAGGGAACAUGGCGAUAAGCGAUCUCAUUGAAGAAGUGGAUUUCCUCCUUUUUGAGCAUGAGGGCAGCCGCGAUGGAAUGUACAGGCGCAUCACCCCAUCUUUCAUAGAAAAAUCCUCCAUCUUUGUCUAGGAUAUCGAAAUAAUCGAGGUAGGCUUGCGAUCGCAACCAGUUGAGAUCACCAAUUUCGAAAUUCGACCAAAAAUGGCAAAGGUUAUAUGUCUUCCCUCCAUCCUCGCUGAUGAAUUCCAGGUUAUUGUCCUCUACAAUAUGCUGAGGGUACUUCUCCAUGAAUUUCUUGACACUAUCCCAGAUCGUAGCUACGGUGUCUCUGUAUUCAUACAGACUGAUAACAAAGCUAUAUUUCUUCUUGUUGUCUUUCAUGAACUUGAACGGGUCGAAACCGAUGUCACAGAAAUAUUCGAUGCUGGGCUCCACUCGCCAAUAGUAGUCGAAUUUCUGGAGGAGCUCCUGGCGGAAAAAGAAUCCAGAUUCAAAACGGCACAUGUGUCUGUAGCUGAUGGAAUCUCCGUAGAUGACUUGUUUCUCCUUCAUAUCCUGCCGAACCUUGGCGGCUUUUGCCUGGUCGAUAAAGUCAGGGAACGACCAGUGCUCUUUCGGAAUGACUCCAUAAUGCGUUUUCCCCGAUACAAGAGCAGUAGUUAUCUUUAUGAAUUGGUCGUUGAAGGGCACGUCAUUAAGAAAGACCCAGUCAUAGUGAUAAUUCCGGUUGAAUCGGUCCUCCACCUGGCGGAUCGACUUGGCGAUCUCCCAAAUAUCCCCAUUUCUGGCCAAAGUCACGAAUGUUGCGUUUACUCGUUCAUAGGCAGGUGCUGGAACAGUUGAAGAAGUGUUGGAAAGUGGUGAAACUGAUAGAGGAGUUGAGGGGCUAUGGCUGGUUUGUUUUGACCCGGACCUGAGGUUGGACACGACAUCGCUUGUGCUCGGGAGAGGUAGUGAGGAGUAUGAUAUGAAAUGUAGAAUUGCAACACACAGCACUGCAAAUAGAAUGUACCGUAGGUACUUUCCAGAGACCGAAUUCAUCACGGCGCAGGGGUCUGUCAACCACGUUCUGGUUCACACAGACGCGGAAAUUCGCUUCGUCUUUUUCUCGUCCCUUUUUCCUGUCGUUGUCCUUUGAAAUUUCAAAAGCUAAGGAGGGAAAAAAAGGGUAUAAACUGGGUUCCAAUUCAAAGGAAAUCCGAAA